AAAAUGGGAUUAGAUACCCCACUAUGCUUAGCAGUAAACCCAGGCGGCCUUAAAGCCAGCCCGCCCGCCAGAGUACUACAAGUGAAAAACUUAAAACUCAAAGGACUUGACGGUGUCCCACAUCAGCCUAGAGGAGCCUGUCCCAUAAUCGAUGACCCGCGUUCAACCUUGCCCGCCCUUGUAGCCCCCAGCCUAUAUACCGCCGUCCUCAGCCAACCUUACAAAAGCCCCAACAGUUGGCCCAAUAGCCCCCACUAAAACGUCAGGUCAAGGUGUAGCUUACGGGCGGGAGAAGAUGGGCUACAUUUUCUGCAACAGAACCCCCCGACCAGCGCUAUGAAACUGCGCACGAAGCUGGAUUUAGCAGUAAAUCGGACAAGACCUGUCCAAUUGAACCCUGCCCUGGGACGCGUACACACCGCCCGUC
This 427-nucleotide ribosomal RNA is filed under the name Hemidactylus platyurus (flat-tailed house gecko). RNAcentral describes it as "partial 12S ribosomal RNA". It matches the Rfam family "Bacterial small subunit ribosomal RNA", at positions 769 to 1398 of the family's 1533-position model. The record is from RNAcentral. Lineage: Eukaryota; Metazoa; Chordata; Lepidosauria; Squamata; Gekkonidae.